UAUCUCCCCCCCACACCCUUUCUUUCAUCCAUUUUAAUGGUAAAUAUUCCAUUGGUGAAUAUUACCAUUUGAGAAUGACUUUUUUUUUUUUUUUUUUUUUUUUUUUUUUUUUUUUUUUUUUAAACCAUAACGAUGGGCAGUAGUUCAGAACUACUGAAGUCUGGCUGGAGAGAUGAGGAACUAUUACUUUUUAAUACUGCUUGAAAUGGGAACACUUUUUUGCUGGAAGCCCAUUUUUCUAAAAGAAACAAUCAUGUUUUUUCUUCAUUUUCUCCGCGCCUCUAAUCUGCCAGGAAAUAAUUCAGCGCAUUUCGGGCUGAAGCCUGUGCCUCGCCGCCUGUGGUUGGGUCACCGUCCCUUCUGAGGCUGCUCGGAGGAGGGAGAGGACGCUUGCCCUCGCGGGUGUUCUACCCCUGAGACUGACGCUCCUUGGUGCUCUCUCUGUUCCCUCCCAGAUCUUGGGAGAAGCAUGGACAUCUCUGUUUCUGCUUUUGGUCCCCGAAUGCAGUUGCUCGCCCACCGGCCCCCUGCCUCUGGCGCUCCUGGGCGCGGGGAAUCUGGGGCCGCCCCGCCUGCGCACGGCGGUGCCGGGAUUGGGGGCGGGCGCGCCGCCUCCGUCUCCCGCGUGCUCGCUCUCUCGCUCACUCGCUCCCGCCCUCCCCGCCUUGAGCGAUCUCCUGCCUCAGCCUUGCAGGCUCCGCACUGCAGAUGCCCGCGGCUUCCCUGUGCUCUCGGCGGCUCCCGCGGUGCCCCGCAAGUCCCAGUGACCCUCCAGCCGUGCGCUCCCUGCUCCCAAGGGUCUGUUAGCCGCGGACACUCACCCAGCUCGGCGAGCGCAGCUGCUCAGCCGGUGAGGCAGCGGGGACCGAGAGGGACGGUGGCCGCGCCAGAGCCUGGGGCGCUCCCGGAUGCGGCAGGACAAGCUGACCGGGUCUCUGAGGCGCGGGGGGAGAUGCCUGAAGCGGCAGGGCGGCGGCGUGGGCACCAUACUGAGCAAUGUGCUCAAGAAGCGCAGCUGCAUUUCCCGGACCGCGCCCAGGCUGCUCUGCACCCUGGAGCCGGGAGUUGAUACUAAGUUGAAAUUCACUCUUGAGCCAUCUUUAGGUCAAAAUGGUUUUCAGCAGUGGUACGAUGCUCUCAAGGCAGUUGCCAGGCUAUCCACAGGAAUACCAAAGGAAUGGAGGAGAAAGGUUUGGUUGACCUUGGCAGAUCAUUAUUUGCACAGUAUAGCCAUUGACUGGGACAAAACCAUGCGCUUCACUUUCAAUGAAAGGAGUAAUCCUGAUGAUGACUCCAUGGGAAUUCAGAUAGUCAAGGACCUUCACCGCACAGGCUGUAGUUCUUACUGCGGCCAGGAGGCUGAGCAGGACAGGGUUGUGUUGAAGCGGGUGCUACUGGCCUAUGCCCGAUGGAACAAAACUGUUGGGUACUGCCAAGGCUUUAACAUCCUGGCUGCACUAAUUCUGGAAGUGAUGGAAGGCAAUGAAGGGGACGCCCUGAAAAUUAUGAUUUAUCUUAUUGAUAAGGUACUUCCCGAAAGCUAUUUUGUCAAUAAUCUCCGGGCAUUGUCUGUGGAUAUGGCUGUCUUCAGAGACCUUUUAAGAAUGAAGCUGCCGGAAUUAUCUCAGCACCUGGAUACUCUUCAGAGAACUGCAAACAAAGAAAGUGGAGGUGGAUAUGAGCCCCCACUUACAAAUGUCUUCACGAUGCAGUGGUUUCUGACUCUCUUUGCCACGUGCCUCCCUAAUCAGACGGUUUUAAAGAUCUGGGAUUCAGUCUUCUUUGAAGGUUCAGAAAUCAUCCUAAGGGUGUCGCUGGCUAUCUGGGCAAAAUUAGGAGAGCAGAUAGAAUGUUGUGAAACAGCAGAUGAAUUCUACAGCACCAUGGGGCGCCUUACCCAGGAGAUGCUAGAGAAUGAUCUUCUGCAAAGCCAUGAACUCAUGCAGGUGAGUGGUCAACAUGGAGCAGCUUGGCUCAGGGAACCCCAGGCACGGUGGGAACAACCAGUGCCAGAGCAGC
This 2019-nucleotide long non-coding RNA is filed under the name Rhinopithecus bieti (black snub-nosed monkey). RNAcentral describes it as "lncRNA (ENSRBIG00000045699.1)". The record is from RNAcentral. Lineage: Eukaryota; Metazoa; Chordata; Mammalia; Primates; Cercopithecidae.